UUAUUUUAUACUAUCUUAAAAUUCUUGAAAUUUGUAAAAUUUAAAGAUCCGUGGGACUUACGCCCCGCCUCGUUAGAGGUAAAACGCCUCGCCUUUUAAAACAUUGAUCAAUAGAAUAAAAAACAAUAGCAUAGCAUAUGAGUGAGUUUGCAAGUCUUGGUUCCAAGCUAAGCUCAUUGUGCUUAAGAGCAGCCAUCAGAAUUGUGGCGGGAUUUGUGGUUCUAAAUAACCACCAAAAGUCCCUCGGGAUCCCCUAGAAAUGUCAAAUAGAUGCUUAUGUGUAAUAACCCUACAAUUUUAUAGAACUUUAAGA
This 313-nucleotide long non-coding RNA is filed under the name Nicotiana benthamiana. Its description in RNAcentral is "long non-coding RNA (NBEN_LNC001831)". Lineage: Eukaryota; Viridiplantae; Streptophyta; Magnoliopsida; Solanales; Solanaceae. The record is from RNAcentral.